GGAAGCCUCCUUGGGCUGUUGCUAAUAGCCAGCAGAAGCAGUCAGUUCCUUCCAGCAGUGUGUGGGUCUCUGCUGCAAAGCAGCAAUUGCCUAAGCAAUCUAUGUUGGCAAGUUUGGAUACUUAAGUACUUCUUAUGCUGCACAACACGCUGGUUGUACCUCACGUUUUGGAAACAGAAUCAGCUGUAGCCCUGCCUUCAAGUACACACUCAAGAGAUCAUCAUAUGCAGAGCAGAGAAAGGAUGUUGAAUGAAUCACAGGCUGGCCAGAAAUGUGCAGGCUGUCCCAUUCUUGGUAUUUCAGGCAGCAGGUCUGUCACACACAGAGGAUUCAUUAUGAUCUGACUAAACUGAAUGAGCACUGCGCUGUGAAAACCAAUGGUUUACCUCCCUGGUGUGAAGGCAGUAUUAGUAUUUCCACUCCCUCCAGAUCGCUCUCCUCCUACCCGUCUGCCGUGACCAAAACCACAUGUUGGCACAAGAUUAGCAGAAAAUAACCACACUGUGACCUGCCUGCCACCCGCUAGUGGAAACUGGGAAUUCACGGGAAUUGAGGGAACUGGAGGCAGUUCACAUGAGUUACACUCUUGGUACCGCAAUUUAUCUUCAAGUUGGUAUUUCAGAGUUUCAUAUAUGUUGUUCAGUUUCCCUGAAAUUAACCUUUACGGAAAAAAAAAAAAAGAGAGAGAAAAACCCGCAGUCUUUCAGGGGGAUCAGAAACCAAUUUCAGGAAGCACUAUCAAGUUUGAUGGUAAAUGCAGCCACUGAAAGUAAAUGCAUUCUUCUGUGUGUGUGUACUGGAUUAAUAUUUUUAUUGAGUUUCAUACAGAAACAAAGAAGGAAAACUGCAGGAUGCUAUGUAACACACUGCUGGAAUACCACAGUGCUAUUUAUUGCAGACUUGUCAGGAGUUGAGUGAUUUUCAGUGUGGUCCAUGAGGAAGCAAGAAGCUUGAACCAGCUUUGAAGUGACCUGGAGCACACUGCUCUGGUCUGGAUGCAAGUCGACUUUUCCAUUUUGCUAAGAACAUCUGCGUGGUGAUCCUCGCCACAAUGCCACCUGCAGCACUUCGGAUGCUGAGGUCAAGCCUGACACGAAGACAGCUGUUUGGCCAGGAGAUGGUCCCAAGGCACUUGCAUCCCAUUCCUUCUAAGGAACCAGAAUGCACUACAUAUCUUUUUGGAUGAAGGACAAUAUUCCUGAGAAAUAUCCAAGGAUCACAGACCCUCUGCUGUUGUUACUCAGCUUAUACACUAUUUUAACUAGACAUUUUCUGAAGUGCUUUGAUGAAGUUCCUGACAAGCCUUUAGCAAAGAAAUCUAAUCUCAUGAAAUAUUUCCUCCUGACCAAAGCAUGGACUUUGUAUGGACUGGGGAGGACACUGGAACAUUUUUAAUGUAUCCUGAAAUUCUGGGUCUCUGGCAAGUCUCUGAAGCCAAGAAAUACCAUAAGAAUGUGCAGGGUAUUACCUGAAAGUGCUCCACCUCUGCUAUGUGAAGUCAUGGCACUGUAUGAGCAUUAGAAAGAGCUCUCCCUGACUGACUGGAAAAUCCAUAUUCCCCGUUAGUAUUUUAACCUCUCCCCAUAGACAUAGGAAGAGAGGAUGUUAACCUAUUUAUAUGGGAAAUCAUUAGAAAAAGCACAAGAUUUAAAUUCACAUUCAUCAGUUUAUUGGGAUUUCUUGGUAUUAUUGUACUAGGUCCUUAAUUGUAUCUGUUUGCCUAUAACAAUUUUCAAGGGAAACAGCCCCAUUACUUGACACUUGAAGAAUUAUAUCAGGGAUACAUGGAUCAUUCUGUAUGGAAGUAAAACCAGAAAGUCAUGUACAAUAUUUUUGGCACCACUGCAUAAACUUAGAGGUUACUCAGGCCAUGCUCCGAGUCAAGGUACAAGACAGGGUAAGGACAGGACAGCUGAAGCAAAGAACCAAAUAGAGGGACAAAUCUAAACUGUCUGCAUACAAGAAUACCCCCAGCCACCUUGCCAAAAGGUUUUUCUGUAAGUAAAGUUGUCUUAGAAUGACUUGUGGGUUGAGGUCAUCACAUGUCACUGCUGACAUGGUUUCUGAAGGUCACCUUGGCAAACUCAAUUUGAUUUGUGUGGUUAAGCCUAAUGCUUUCUCUAGACUCAUUAUCAGAAAAUUUGGCAGUAUAUUGACAUUAUUAUGAACUGAAAUAGAUUUACAGUUAAAACUCAGCGUAGCAUUUCUCUCCAGUGUAAGACAGUUGGUAACAGGACUUAUCACAGAGUCAGAGGACAAACCUGACCUUGCAAGUGAGUCACCACGGACGUCAAACCUCCCGACAACAGCAAUUGAGUGAGAUGUCUACAGAGCUCCUAGAAGAAGCCCUCCAAGCUGGGCACUCUUCCCACUUUCAUAUUCUCAAUUGCCUAAUUCACUGAGAGGGGACAUCAAGGCCUGAAUGCUAUGUUACACUAAUUUUACAUACCAUAAUAUUUCUUCUUAAUUAAUCCAUGAGCAUUUGUGGAGAGGGCUGUAUCUAACUAGCAUAGAUCUUUCUAAAGCUAGAGAAUGCUUCACUAAUAUAUUUGGAUGAAGUUUUUGAUUUACAACCUUAAUUACAGAUGCCAGAAGUUCUACUUUUAAAGGACUUUUAUAUCAGAAAUUGCCAGCUGACUCUCAAGAAAUUCCUAGAAAUUCUGCUGGAGGUGGAAUAUGAUGGAGCUAAUCUAUUCUGAACACAGCUUGUUGAGUACACAAGUAAAACUGGCCAAGGUUUGCAGUAAGUCAGUCUGGGGAAGGAGGAUGUCUGGAUAAAAAAAAAAAAACCUCCAAUUCUUUUUUCACGAGUAGUUGUGGUGGUUUUGUGUUUGCUUUCUUGGCAAAUGUGGAAUAAAUACUCGAGUUCUGAAGUAGAUUGUUAAGCCAUCUAUCAGGAUCUAUCCUUUUCCAGGAAAGGGGAGAGGAACAGAAAUUUGUCUCAUUUCUCAGUGAAUAUAUUGAAAAUUGAAAAAAUACAAGUCAUAUUACCUAUUUCUUGCCCAGAUUUUUGCAGACAUAAGUUAUGUAACUAGCCAAGACCACAGGACAAUCAUGAAACAAUGCAGGAUCUAUCUGUGUGGUAAAAUGAAAUGCAUGUUCAUUAGUUCCUAUUUACUGUGUAUGUGAGCAUUUACAUACUGCAGAAUCCCGAGUCCUUAAUAUUUCAUCAUCAUAUGAGACUGAGUAAUUUAUGAUCUUGACAUUAGACUGGGACAGUAAAAAGAACAGUUGAUUAAAAUAGCAGUCACAGUAGGAAUAUGGAGGCCAACAUAUCAUGCAGUAGGAAAGGCCACAAAAGUCAUUUUUUCAUGGCUGAGCAUUAAUGGUGAUUUAUUCAGAUCGAGGCCUGAUGAUUUCAAGAGUUAAAAAUCCAACCAAGUCAUCUAAAAAUGUCUCCGUGCAUUGUGAAAGAAACAGAACUGCCCACCUGGAUCCAGAUGAGAAGCUGCAAGAGUCUGAUGUACAGUGUCAUCACUUUCUGACCUUUCAGCUUCCUAUGUGCUACUUCUGGAUCCUCUAACAACACUCUGUCUUCGUUCACUUUCAGAACCAGCCCACUUUUCUUCCUUAUAAUUUGGAUUGUUGAAUCUCUCUAUAUUUAAGAAAAUAAAACUGAGGUUUGGAUCCAUUUGACCAUACUAACAGUGAAUUUUAUUCUGUUUCUGUGGACUGAAAAUCAAAGGUGAGGGAACAUUUAAGUCAUUUGCUCCAUCU
Molecule: long non-coding RNA, 3717 nt
Filed under: Gallus gallus (chicken)
Lineage: Eukaryota; Metazoa; Chordata; Aves; Galliformes; Phasianidae
Description: lncRNA (ENSGALG00010022970.1)
Source: RNAcentral